GGGGAAUUGUUCGCAAUGGACGCAAGCCUGACGACGCAACGCCGCGUGGAGGAUGAAGAUUUUCGGAUCGUAAACUCCUUUCGAUCGGGACGAAUGGCUGGGAACCUAAUACGUUUCCGGAUUGACGGUACCGAGAGAAGAAGCCCCGGCUACCUCCGUGCCAGCAGCCGCGGUAAUACGGGGGGGGCAAGCGUUGUUCGGAAUUACUGGGCGUAAAGGGCGCGUAGGCGGCCUGCUAAGUCACACGUGAAAUCCCUCGGCUCAACCGGGGAACUGCGUGUGAUACUGGCGGGCUCGAAUUCGGGAGAGGGAUGUGGAAUUCCAGGUGUAGCGGUGAAAUGCGUAGAUAUCUGGAGGAACACCGGUGGCGAAGGCGGCAUCCUGGACCGAGAUUGACGCUGAGGCGCGAAAGCUAGGGUAGCAAA
This 425-nucleotide ribosomal RNA is filed under the name uncultured bacterium. RNAcentral describes it as "bacterial SSU rRNA". It matches the Rfam family "Bacterial small subunit ribosomal RNA", at positions 356 to 772 of the family's 1533-position model. The record is from RNAcentral.